Molecule: long non-coding RNA, 864 nt
Filed under: Physcomitrium patens
Lineage: Eukaryota; Viridiplantae; Streptophyta; Bryopsida; Funariales; Funariaceae
Description: long non-coding RNA (PPAT_LNC004016)
Source: RNAcentral
UUAAUUUGUUUGAUAACUUUUCUGUCCCCUUCAUUGUUUUUUAAAUCAUAUUUGUAGUUUGAAUACUUUUGUAGCAGAAAACAUUGCAUGCCUUUAUAUACUCAGGAUUCUCUUUUCUAUUUAUUUUUUAUUUUAUUUAUUUUUUUGUUUUAAGAAUUGUUUACUCUCUUUUGCAACAAUAAUUGUGGUGCCACAUGGAACAUUGCAUUGAUGAGUUUUUCAUUUAGACUUUUGUCCCAAAAUGUUUUAUCUUCAAAAUAUUUGUUAAAAUUUUAAAAUUCAAUUGACUAUUGAAAAAUAUAUGAAUUCAAAUCAUUUUAGAUUUAUUAUAAAUAGUUGAAUUUUCUGAAAAAUGAUAGGCAUGCUGAAAAUUUUUAAAUCUCACCAAAUAUGUCUAAUUUGUUUUUUUUGUUUUUUUGUUUUUUUUGCUGUAUUCACAUGUGUUGUGUGGGUACCUUUGUCAAUGUUUCAAGAACUAUACACAUGCAUGUAUAUAUACCUGAUUAUGUUUCAAAGAUGAGGUUAAGUAGAAUAGUGUUAUCAAACAAUUAUUUAGGGCAUGGAUUUAAAACAUAUACAUACACAACAUUAUUAAGUAAAAACAAUUUUCAAUUUUAUCUCCUCACUGAAAUCUAUAUUUAUUUUUAAAAAAUGAAACACUUUUUAGUUUUAUUUUUUAAUAUAAUUUAAAAGCUAUGCUCACAAAGUCAUUCUAGAUUUUUCUGCUUAUUCAGUUACACAAACAUCACAUACAAAUAAAUGAAUACAUAAAUAAAGUCAGAAAAAAGGGAUGGUGUGACACUACUUUGGCAGCCACAUGUAACACUUGCCACAUCAAAGGCUUGGCCCCAUUAGCACCCCCUC